Molecule: ribosomal RNA, 301 nt
Filed under: uncultured bacterium
Lineage: Bacteria
Description: partial 16S ribosomal RNA
Rfam family: Bacterial small subunit ribosomal RNA
Source: RNAcentral
CAGCCGCCGCGGUAAUACAAAGGGUGCGAGCGUUAAUCGGAUUUACUGGGCGUAAAGCGUGCGUAGGCGGCUUUUUAAGUCGGAUGUGAAAUCCCUGAGCUUAACUUAGGAAUUGCAUUCGAUACUGGGAAGCUAGAGUAUGGGAGAGGAUGGUAGAAUUCCAGGUGUAGCGGUGAAAUGCGUAGAGAUCUGGAGGAAUACCGAUGGCGAAGGCAGCCAUCUGGCCUAAUACUGACGCUGAGGUACGAAAGCAUGGGGAGCAAACAGGAUUAGAUACCCGCGUAGUCCCUGUCUCUUAUAC